GACGAACGCUGGCGGCGUGCCUAAUACAUGCAAGUAGAACGCUGAAGGAGGAGCUUGCUUCUCUGGAUGAGUUGCGAACGGGUGAGUAACGCGUAGGUAACCUGCCUGGUAGCGGGGGAUAACUAUUGGAAACGAUAGCUAAUACCGCAUAAUAGUAGAUGUUGCAUGACAUUUGCUUAAAAGGUGCAAUUGCAUCACUACCAGAUGGACCUGCGUUGUAUUAGCUAGUUGGUGAGGUAACGGCUCACCAAGGCGACGAUACAUAGCCGACCUGAGAGGGUGAUCGGCCACACUGGGACUGAGACACGGCCCAGACUCCUACGGGAGGCAGCAGUAGGGAAUCCUCGGCAAUGGACGGAAGUCUGACCGAGCAACGCCGCGUGAGUGAAGAAGGUUUUCGGAUCGUAAAGCUCUGUUGUAAGAGAAGAACGAGUGUGAGAGUGGAAAGUUCACACUGUGACGGUAUCUUACCAGAAAGGGACGGCUAACUACGUG
This 495-nucleotide ribosomal RNA is filed under the name uncultured bacterium. Its description in RNAcentral is "partial 16S ribosomal RNA". It matches the Rfam family "Bacterial small subunit ribosomal RNA", at positions 28 to 507 of the family's 1533-position model. The record is from RNAcentral.